UAUGGGAAUGUAGACUUGCUGUUUCUUUCCUAAAGGCCAAUUAUGAACAUGUUCAUUAAUAUUAAGAAGGAUGUCCCUAAUGGGCAUUCGUAUGACCAUACAUGCUGAAGAUGUAUGUGGAUUUUCUUACUGAUAGUACCAUACCAUAGGAUCAAGGAAUGCACAGAAUAAGAUGGUUCAAACAAUGCUGUAUGAGAUGUGUCUAUAUACAAUAUAGGAUACUAAAGAAAUCCAGGUUCCAAUUAUAGAGAACAUUUUUCAAAUGAUAAUCUGUUGUAGGUUUAGUAUACUAGAGCUUAUGUGAAUUCUUUCAGAUGUGAAAUUGUUUCCCAAAUUUUGGCAAUGCUCCUUAUAACCCAAUCAUGCUACUAGAACUUGUAUUCAACUUAUAAGAGCAUGAAAAUUUUGGAAAUGAGCCAAUGAAACUAAACUUAAAUUUUGCUUAUAUCUCCUGAAAGCAGGUAGAAAAUACUCUAGUCAAGUAAUUUACAAUUUGGAAUAUUUGGUUAAAAUUCAAAUCUGAUAUCUGUAACAAUUUACCUUUAACAGUGUUCACUCUCUAAGGCAAUAUUCCGAACAACCUCAACAAUAACAAAUUUCAAAAUAAGUAGAUAUUGAAAAUGGUUAAAUCUGUUGCAUUUGUUUUGGCUUGAGUUUGUUGUUGUUGUUGUUUGAAUGUAUAUGUGGUUUAAAUAGCACAUUGCUCUUCAUUUGUCAGGAUUUCUUCUAUCUUGCCAUUUAUGAAUUUCCUUUGCAUAACCCCUUCCCUGUACAUAUGUAAACAUAACAGUGUACGAUUCUGGACUGGGGAGUAGAGGUACUAGAAUGCUUAUGGCCAUCUCUUUGUAUAGGAACUACAUUGCUGUCCCAUGUCAAUGAGGCUACCGCUCCCUUGCCGUGUUAUGUACCAUAUUACCUGACUUGUAUCUUAAAUUUGAUUUAUAGAUAUUAUUUAUUUCUCGCAACACACCCAGUCAAGGCUGUACUAAGUAUCCAUCAAGCCAUGUAUAAAUAUGAUACAAUUGGCAGUAUGUGUUUACUUUACACUUGCAUUUUUAAAAACAUGGUUCAUUUAGUUUAUGUUGCACAAUGUAGAUGGCCUCUUACUAAUGUAAAAUGAUUUCUAGUGGGAACACUUAUAUUUUUAUAAUAAACAUAAUGAAAAUAUUUUUACAGAUCGG
Molecule: long non-coding RNA, 1181 nt
Filed under: Rattus norvegicus (Norway rat)
Lineage: Eukaryota; Metazoa; Chordata; Mammalia; Rodentia; Muridae
Description: long non-coding RNA NONRATT006779
Source: RNAcentral